GGGGAUGUAGCCCAGUUAGUAGAGUGCCUGUCUUGCAAAAGGCUCUGGGUUCAAUCCCCAGCACCCCUC
RNAcentral lists this transfer RNA (69 nucleotides) under Ictidomys tridecemlineatus (thirteen-lined ground squirrel). RNAcentral's name for it is "Spermophilus tridecemlineatus (thirteen-lined ground squirrel) tRNA". It matches the Rfam family "tRNA". Rfam says of the family: Transfer RNA (tRNA) molecules are approximately 80 nucleotides in length. Their secondary structure includes four short double-helical elements and three loops (D, anti-codon, and T loops). Lineage: Eukaryota; Metazoa; Chordata; Mammalia; Rodentia; Sciuridae. The record is from Rfam by way of RNAcentral.